UACAGCAGCACUGUUCACAGCAGAGGAAAACUGGCCUCUCCCCAAAGGCUUAGCAGCAGGGAAAUAAUUAAGCGAAUGAUGGCUGUGCAGAUGAGGAAUCACCAGGAGGAGGUGUCCGCAGCCAUGACUGGUGAGCAGCUGAGGGAGGCAGAGAGAGGCUCUGAACGUCACUAGAGUGACCUGGACACUGCCCUGGUCCCGGAGGUUGAGGACGCGUGGACAUCACGAAGCUGGACUCAGCCCCUGAAACCUGACUCUGGCUCAUUAGAAUGGCUUCUCCUCAAUAAAAGGGUUCAGCACGU
Molecule: long non-coding RNA, 302 nt
Filed under: Ictidomys tridecemlineatus (thirteen-lined ground squirrel)
Lineage: Eukaryota; Metazoa; Chordata; Mammalia; Rodentia; Sciuridae
Description: lncRNA (ENSSTOG00000033325.1)
Source: RNAcentral